GCUGGCCUGCGGCAGCUGGCCCACCAGGCGCUCGCCUUCGGCGCGAAUGGCGGCGGGUUCGACGCCCACGGCCUCCA
RNAcentral lists this transfer RNA (77 nucleotides) under Mycobacterium timonense. RNAcentral describes it as "tRNA-Arg". Lineage: Bacteria; Bacillati; Actinomycetota; Actinomycetes; Mycobacteriales; Mycobacteriaceae. The record is from RNAcentral.